UACGAAGGGGGCUAGCGUUGCUCGGAAUUACUGGGCGUAAAGCGCACGUAGGCGUCUUCUUAAGUCGGAGGUGAAAUCCUGGAGCUCAACUCCAGAACUGCCUUCGAUACUGGGAAGCUCGAGUCCGGGAGAGGUGAGUGGAACUGCGAGUGUAGAGGUGAAAUUCGUAGAUAUUCGCAAGAACACCAGUGGCGAAGGCGGCUCACUGGCCCGGUACUGACGCUGAGGUGCGAAAGCGUGGGGAGCAAACAGG
Molecule: ribosomal RNA, 253 nt
Filed under: uncultured bacterium
Lineage: Bacteria
Description: partial 16S ribosomal RNA
Rfam family: Bacterial small subunit ribosomal RNA
Source: RNAcentral